ACAUCUAGAGGCAAUUUAGUGCAAAAAUGGCUAGAUAUAUGGCGUUCUUGUCUAUGUUAAGUAUUGUGAUUCUAAGAAAGUGUAUACAUGUAUAUCAAGAAUAUGUGUAUCUAUUGAUAGACAUGGCUUUCAUUCUUGUCUCAUCGGUGCAAUUCUCCAGAAUGAGUUUUCGGCCAACGGCGGAGGUUUCCGGCAGGAUUUCUUCUAUGACACCAAUUAUGGCUAGGCUUGAUCGCUAGAAAGCUGCCAUAUAAUACACAUAUGCACUAUCCUUCACACUUUUUUUUUUAUGGUGAGUUUUGUAUCCCAAAUAAGUCAACUUAUCUAUAAUCUUAAUUCAAAUUUCCCUACAAUUUAGGUUUCUUGCUUUUGCUUUUAUUUUAAUUAGACUAUAUAUUCUCUUGUUUGGUGCAACACCUUAGUCCAUCUUUUAGAUCUGUAAAAUAAACUUGGCCAAAUGCCAUUUAUGGGAAUCUCAUACGAUGGACUCGAUUCAGGCUCAAAUUAUUGAUAUAUUUGGAUAAUAUAGAAUUACAUAUUACUGCUUAUAGGUUCUGUAUAUUUAUGUAACUUUUAAGAUAUAUUUAUCUUAUCUAUGGUGGUAGAGAUGCAUAUAUCUAAAACAAAGUUCUAUAAUGAAU
RNAcentral lists this long non-coding RNA (641 nucleotides) under Lupinus angustifolius (narrow-leaved blue lupine). RNAcentral describes it as "long non-coding RNA (LANG_LNC000086)". Lineage: Eukaryota; Viridiplantae; Streptophyta; Magnoliopsida; Fabales; Fabaceae. The record is from RNAcentral.